RNAcentral lists this ribosomal RNA (1046 nucleotides) under unidentified archaeon. RNAcentral's name for it is "16S ribosomal RNA". The record is from RNAcentral.
UGGGUCUCGCUCGUUACCUGACUUAACAGGAUGCUUCACAGUACGAACUGACGACGGCCAUGCACCACCUCUCAGCUAAUCCGGCAAAGUCUUCAGCCUGGCCUUCAUAUUGCUGUCGGUCCCGGUAAGAUUUCCGGCGUUGAAUCCAAUUAAACCGCAAGCUCCACCCGUUGUGGUGCUCCCCCGCCAAUUCCUUUAAGUUUCAGCCUUGCGGCCGUACUUCCCAGGUGGCUCGCUUCACGGCUUCCCUACGGCACCGACAACGGUCGCACCGUGGCCGACACCUAGCGAGUAUCGUUUACGGCUAGGACUACCCGGGUAUCUAAUCCGGUUCGUGCCCCUAGCUUUCGUCCCUUGCCGUCAGGUCCGUUCUGGUGAGACGCCUUCGCCACUGGUGGUCCUUCAAGGAUUACAAGAUUUCACCCCUACCCCUGAAGUACCUCUCACCUCUCCCGGCCUCGAGCCAGACAGUAUCUCCUGAAAGCCUGACAGUUAAGCUGCCAGAUUUCUCAAGAGACUUAUCCGGCCGGCUACAGACCCUUUAGACCCAAUAAUAACGGUUACCACUCGAGCCGCCGGUGUUACCGCGGCGGCUGGCACCGGUCUUGCCCGGCCCUUGCUAUGAAAUGCUUUUUAGGCAUCUCGACAGCCAGAUUUGUAACCUGGCACUCGAGGUUCCCUUAUCGCUGUUGCCAGCAUUGUAAAGUUUUCGCGCCUGCUGCACCCCGUAGGGCCUGGAUUCGUGUCUCAGAAUCCAUCUCCGGGCUCUUGCUCUCACAACCCGUACCCGUCGUAGGCUAGUAGGUACGCUACACCCACUACUACCUGAUAGGCCGCAGACCCAUCCUUAGGCGCCGGAGCUUUUAAUCUCGAUGCAUUCCAGCAGCCGAGACCUAUCGGGGAUUAUACCCAGUUUCCCGGGUUUAUACCCGACCUAAGGGCAGGUUGUCCACGUGUUACUGAGCAGUACGCCAUGUAUUGCUACAUUCGACUCGCAUGGCUUAGUCGAACCUCGAUAGCAGUAACCUCUGGCAGGAUCAACCGGA